GUGCUGAUCACCAAGGCCCUUUUUCCUGGCCUGGUAUGCGUGUGAUUAUGUUUGUCCCGGUUCCUGUGUAUUAGACAUGGAAGCCUCCCCUGCCACACUCCACCCCCAAUCUUCCUUUCCCUUCCGGCAGGGAGUGCCCUCUCCAUAAGACGCUUACGUUUGGACAAUCAAGGUGCACAGUUGUAAGUGACCACAGGCAUACACCUUGGACAUUAAUGUGCAUAACCACUUUGCCCAUUCCAUCUGAAUAAGGUCCUACUCUCAGAUGCCCUUUGCAGUACAGCAGGGGUACUGAAUCACCAAGGCCCUUUUUCU
This 315-nucleotide long non-coding RNA is filed under the name Homo sapiens (human). RNAcentral describes it as "non-protein coding XIST:51". Lineage: Eukaryota; Metazoa; Chordata; Mammalia; Primates; Hominidae. The record is from RNAcentral.